AAGUGCCUACGGGGGGCAGCAGUGGGGAAUAUUGCACAAUGGGGGAAACCCUGAUGCAGCGACGCCGCGUGAAGGAAGAAGUAUUUCGGUAUGUAAACUUCUAUCAGCAGGGAAGAAAAUGACGGUACCUGACUAAGAAGCCCCGGCUAACUACGUGCCAGCAGCCGCGGUAAUACGUAGGGGGCAAGCGUUAUCCGGAUUUACUGGGUGUAAAGGGAGCGUAGGCGGUUUAGCAAGUCAGAAGUGAAAGCCCGGGGCUCAACUCUGAGCCUGCAUUUGAAACUGUGUUUCUUGAGUGCUGGAGG
This 305-nucleotide ribosomal RNA is filed under the name uncultured bacterium. Its description in RNAcentral is "bacterial SSU rRNA". It matches the Rfam family "Bacterial small subunit ribosomal RNA", at positions 333 to 655 of the family's 1533-position model. The record is from RNAcentral.